AUGGAGCCAGGCUCUAAAGAGCCCCAGCCCGGCGCCUACUUGAAGGCUGGCGAUGAUAUCUUCAUCAAGCUACCCUGGGCGUUGAACUCCAGGGCGCCGGUCAAGGGGGAAACUUUCGAUCAAGAGCUGCUCGCCUCCACCGGGCUGUCGUUGGUCGACGCGCCCAGCAGCAGCAGUGGCGAGCCUGAGGAGGAGCAGCUGCUGCAGAAGCUGCUGUCACUCUACCGCGCACGGCAAGCCAAGCUGGCUUCCCGGGAAGCGCUUGUCGCGAAGGCGGGAGUUGACAUGGAGAAGCGCGUGGAGGAGCUCUGGGGCCACAAUCAAGAAGCUCUCCGGUCCCUGGCACAGGAGCGGGAGUGA
RNAcentral lists this ribosomal RNA (360 nucleotides) under Triticum aestivum (bread wheat). RNAcentral describes it as "partial small subunit ribosomal RNA". Lineage: Eukaryota; Viridiplantae; Streptophyta; Magnoliopsida; Poales; Poaceae. The record is from RNAcentral.